Molecule: ribosomal RNA, 711 nt
Filed under: eukaryotic picoplankton environmental sample
Lineage: Eukaryota
Description: SSU rRNA
Rfam family: Eukaryotic small subunit ribosomal RNA
Source: RNAcentral
CUAGAGCUAAUACAUGCGAAAAGACCCGACUUCUGGAAGGGUUGUAUUUAUUAGAUAAAAAACCAAUGGGGGCAACCUCUUUGUGGUGAUUCAUAAUAACUUUGCGAAUCGCAUGGCCUUGUGCCGGCGAUGAAUCAUUUAAAUUUCUGCCCUAUCAACUUUCGAUGGUAAGGUAUUGGCUUACCAUGGUUGCAACGGGUGACGGGGAAUUAGGGUUCGAUUCCGGAGAGGGAGCCUGAGAAAUGGCUACCACAUCCAAGGAAGGCAGCAGGCGCGCAAAUCACCCAAUCCUGACACAGGGAGGUAGUGACAAUAAAUAACAAUACAGGGCCUUCGGGUUUUGUAAUUGGAAUGAGUACAAUUUAAAUCUCUUAACGAGUAACAAUUGGAGGGCAAGUCUGGUGCCAGCAGCCGCGGUAAUUCCAGCUCCAAUAGCGUAUAUUAAAGUUGUUGCAGUUAAAAAGCUCGUAGUUGGACUUCUGCGCCGUCCCGCUGGUCUGCCGCAAGGCUGCACAAGCGGGUUGGCGCAUCCUCUCGAAGGCUGGGGGUGCUCUUCACUGGGUGCUCCCAGAACUCGGGAUCUUUACUUUGAAAAAAUUAGAGUGUUCAAAGCAGGCUUACGCUUGAAUACAUUAGCAUGGAAUAAUGAAAUAGGACUUUGGGUCUAUUUUGUUGGGUUCCUAGAACUGAAGUAAUGAUUAAUAGGGAUAG